Molecule: microRNA precursor, 103 nt
Filed under: Procavia capensis (Cape rock hyrax)
Lineage: Eukaryota; Metazoa; Chordata; Mammalia; Hyracoidea; Procaviidae
Description: miRNA (ENSPCAG00000019392.1)
Rfam family: mir-1302 microRNA precursor family (bases 36-87)
Source: RNAcentral
CAGUUAGUUUGCAUUUCAGAUAAACAACGAAUAAAUUUUUAGUACAAGUAUGCCCCAUGCAAUAUUUGGGACAUACUUAUACUAAAAAUGCUGCCUAGGUAGU